RNAcentral lists this ribosomal RNA (492 nucleotides) under uncultured bacterium. Its description in RNAcentral is "partial 16S ribosomal RNA". It matches the Rfam family "Bacterial small subunit ribosomal RNA", at positions 29 to 507 of the family's 1533-position model. The record is from RNAcentral.
AGUGAACGCUGGCGGUAGGCCUAACACAUGCAAGUCGAACGGCAGCACAGUAAGAGCUUGCUCUUACGGGUGGCGAGUGGCGGACGGGUGAGGAAUACAUCGGAAUCUACUUUUUCGUGGGGGAUAACGUAGGGAAACUUACGCUAAUACCUCAUACGACCUACGGGUUAAAGCAGGGGAUCUUCGGACCUUGCGCGAUUGAAUGAGCCGAUGUCGGAUUAGCUAGUUGGCGGGGUAAAGGCCCACCAAGGCGACGAUCCGUAGCUGGUCUGAGAGGAUGAUCAGCCACACUGGAACUGAGACACGGUCCAGACUCCUACGGGAGGCAGCAGUGGGGAAUAUUGGACAAUGGGCGCAAGCCUGAUCCAGCCAUACCGCGUGGGUGAAGAAGGCCUUCGGGUUGUAAAGCCCUUUUGUUGGGAAAGAAAAGCAGCAGGUUAAUACCCCGCUGUUCUGACGGUACCCAAAGAAUAAGCACCGGCUAACUUCGUG